RNAcentral lists this transfer RNA (90 nucleotides) under Firmicutes bacterium CAG:631. It matches the Rfam family "tRNA". From Rfam's summary of the family: Transfer RNA (tRNA) molecules are approximately 80 nucleotides in length. Their secondary structure includes four short double-helical elements and three loops (D, anti-codon, and T loops). Further hydrogen bonds mediate the characteristic L-shaped molecular structure. tRNAs have two regions of fundamental functional importance: the anti-codon, which is responsible for specific mRNA codon recognition, and the 3' end, to which the tRNAs corresponding amino acid is attached (by aminoacyl-tRNA synthetases). tRNAs cope with the degeneracy of the genetic code in two manners: having more than one tRNA (with a specific anti-codon) for a particular amino acid; and 'wobble' base-pairing, i.e. permitting non-standard base-pairing at the 3rd anti-codon position. Lineage: Bacteria; Bacillati; Bacillota. The record is from Rfam by way of RNAcentral.
GCCCCUGUAGCUCAGCUGGACAAGAGCACCGAUCUCCUAAAUCGGUUUGAUCAAAAGUCAGUGCCGCAGGUUCGAAUCCUGUCAGGGGCG